UUUCCGUAGGUGAACCUGCGGAGGGAUCAUUAAUGAGAACUAAGGGUAGUAGUCUCGGCUAUUACUCUGAACACUCCACCCUUUGUUUAUAUUACCUUUGUUGCUUUAGCAGGCCCGCUCUCGAGCCGCCGGCACCUGCUGGCUAGUGCCUGCUAAAGAACCUAAAACUCUUGUUAAUAAUAUUGUCUGAGUACUAUAUAAUAGUUAAAACUUUCAACAACGGAUCUCUUGGUUCUGGCAACGAUGAAGAACGCAGC
This 257-nucleotide unclassified non-coding RNA is filed under the name plant metagenome. RNAcentral describes it as "partial contains small subunit ribosomal RNA, internal transcribed spacer 1, and 5.8S ribosomal RNA". The stretch from base 209 to 257 matches the Rfam family "5.8S ribosomal RNA", at positions 1 to 49 of the family's 154-position model. The record is from RNAcentral.